UUUCGAGUGUUUUGGAGCUUGCACUUUCUGCAUGUAGAUACAAACUUGUGUGUUCUGGACCAUCUCAAGUCUCUCAUAGUAACCAAUAGUCCUUAUCUUUUUGUGACUUGUGUAUUCUAGAUGAUUGUUAAGCUGGUCAAAACUAUGGUUCCUCUAGGUUAAUUUGUUUGUCAUCUUGCGUUCAAUGUAUGUGCAUGUUUAUAAACAUAUUUUCAUUGUGGUGUAAUAUGUGUUUAUCUU
This 240-nucleotide long non-coding RNA is filed under the name Hordeum vulgare. RNAcentral describes it as "long non-coding RNA (HVUL_LNC004472)". The record is from RNAcentral. Lineage: Eukaryota; Viridiplantae; Streptophyta; Magnoliopsida; Poales; Poaceae.